GAGGGGGUGACUAGUGACAGAGUGAGGGAGGGAAGGGGUGACUAGUGACAGAGUGAGGGAGGUGGUGAUUAGUGACAGAGGGAGGGAUGCGGUGACUAGUGACAGUCACCACCUCCUUCACUCUGUCACUGUCACUCCCUCCCUCACUCUGUCACUGUGUCACCCCCUUCCUCACUCUGUCACUAGUCACCUCUUCCUUCCCUCACUCUGUCACUAGUCACCCCCUC
RNAcentral lists this small RNA (227 nucleotides) under Pelobates cultripes (western spadefoot toad). Lineage: Eukaryota; Metazoa; Chordata; Amphibia; Anura; Pelobatidae. The record is from RNAcentral.